RNAcentral lists this ribosomal RNA (223 nucleotides) under uncultured bacterium. RNAcentral describes it as "partial 23S ribosomal RNA". It matches the Rfam family "Bacterial large subunit ribosomal RNA", at positions 730 to 951 of the family's 2925-position model. The record is from RNAcentral.
CGGCCGCGUCGACGGGUGAAGUCCAGGUAACACUGGAUGGAGGCCCGAACCCACGCACGUUGAAAAGUGCGGGGAUGAGGUGAGUGUAGGAGUGAAAGGCCAAUCAAACUCGGAGAUAGCUCGUACUCCCCGAAAGGCAUUUAGGUGCCGCCUCUUACGUUCCCGAUGUGAGGUAGAGCGACUGAUAGGAUGCGAGGGCUUCACCGCCUAUCAAGUCCUGACA